Hyposmocoma kahamanoa is the source of this 2410-nucleotide RNA transcript. RefSeq lists it as uncharacterized. NCBI's taxonomy places the organism in Eukaryota, Metazoa, Arthropoda, Insecta, Lepidoptera, Cosmopterigidae. The record is from RefSeq and is a predicted model, not a curated record. The transcript is spliced from 10 exons.
UCUCACCGCCAGCCCUCCGUGCGCCCGCGCCGUCGCUGCGCGUGACCAUUCACGCGCGAAAUUCAAACUCCCAUCAUUCAUAAUACCGAACCCAAGUUUUGUGUUUUUGAUAUUAUCUAUGACAACCAUACAAGUGAAUUUUAUAGUGUUCUGUGCCAAUAUAGUGACGUUUGCAAAAAGCUUCAGUUUCUGAACGGAUAACCGUUCAGGUGACACUUUCACUUCAAGAGUUUUUGCAAUCGCCUAGGCCCAUUCGAGGCGGCGACGGGGGGCGAGAUGGUGUCACGGCGGCGUAUACUAUCGCGGUCGCGCGAUGACCUUACUCAGGCAUUCGCCACACAGGUGGAGGAAGAAGAAGAUGUGUGGUAUCAGAAGGAUAAACUUUAUAAGGAACACAUUCAAGAAGUGUUAGACAAAUGGACACAGAUUGACGACGAGAUCUGGGCAAAGGUGAUAGUGUUCGAGCGCAACAGACGAGUAGCUAAGGCGUAUGCGCGGGCGCCGGUGCUCACUAUCAACGGGUCCGAUGACGGAUUCGACGGCAUGAGAAUCGGCUUAUGCGGAUUCGACAACCCACACAGAGAUCCGAAGACAGAUGAAUUAAAGAGACACAUAGGACAGGGCGUCAAAAUAAAAAUGGACGAUGCCGGCAAUAUACUCAUCAGGCGCUAUUCCAAGAGUAGCGUGUUUGUGAAGAGUACAGCAGCGACUAGCAACGAGGAAACGGCGAUAGGACAGGACAUAAUGAAGCUGCCGGGAUACUCGUUGGAACAGGAGAAAAUAUUCAAGUUAUUCGAUAUGAAGAAAUUCCAGUCAAAUGUGAACAGAGAACUACGGAGGGCAUAUCCCGACCGCCGAAGGCUGGAGACGCAAUGCCUUAGUGCAAUAGCUUUCGUCAAGUCAGAAAGUGACUUGCUGGAGUGUCCCAUCUGGGUAAUGAUCAUCAACGUCGUGGCUAUGGACAUGCUCAAAUCUAAACUGCCACCUGUCCAAAGACCAAUGGACAUCAAGAAUAGACCUCGCAUUCCAAUCCCGGACGAGGACCCUUACAGCAUUGCCAGUUCCAAUGCCAACGGUUCAGGUUCCAGCGGCUCGUCGGGAGGCUAUGGACACAAUGGACAUGGAGUGGUGGCGGCGACCAGGGAACAGCUUAUGAUGCAAAUGGGACAGAGGAGAGGGGACAAACCUCCGAAACUUCCUCCGAGAGAGAAUGGUUAUGGGCCUGCUGAUAUUCCCAAGCCGGACUACGAUGAUAUCGACAUAAACGGACGUGUGCCGACACAGUUCCCUCGUGGCAAGUCGGAUAAGGGCAAAGACAACAAGAAAUACGAUGAUCCUUAUUAUUGCGGUCUGCGAGCACGCGUCCCCAACUUUGUAAAGACAAACGGCGUCAAACACCUGCCACAAAUGACGGAGCGCCUUUCCCUGAAGGACGCUCCAGUGCCCAGCAAACGCUACAGCGUGGCCCACGCGCACCCCGGCCCCUUCCCGCCGCACAUGGCCCCCUUCGCGCACGCCCCAAUGCCACCUGCAGCCCUCUGGCACGCUCGCUCAUACGAAAGCGGAAUCGGUGCGUACGGACCCAAAAAGGAGAAGCUCAUCUACCAAUUCUACCCUGACAGGGAACGACGAUUAGUGCGGCCGCUCAUCAUCCAGCAGCCUCGCUAGUGUACAUACAGACUAACCUCGCACAUUAACCUCCGGACUUCGCUCCAACCUUGAUGGAGACCACUAUGAUCCAUACGCGUUGUACGGCCGCCUCCCGAUUCCUGGACGUGGAUUUCCUCCGCCUCCAGCAUCCCAUGCUCGUCACAUGUUUAUCGGCGAUUGGGAUUAAAUAACGACGUUUUAAGACUAGAAAUAUUAUAUUAUAUAUUUUUUCGAACGACAAUCAAGCAGAACAACAAGACAUCUAGAUGCAUUUUAUGGUCUCAACAAAUUUUAAAGCAAAUUGUCUUUCGUAGAUAGAUUGUUUAGUAGGUACAGUCGAUGUCCUAAAAUACCAGAUCCCCUCCAAGUAUUUGGUUCUGAGUAAAUAAGUGUAAAGAAAUGUGUUAAAGAAGCUUAACCUUUAACCUAUGAGCCGUAAAAUCCAUUUUGAUAUGACUUACUUAUUGCACCAUACUAUUUAAAUUAUUUAACUACCUCCGUGGCCGAACUGUUACCAUACUGGUUUGCCACGCAGAGAACCAAUAUUCGAUUCGUAGGCCAGGAGAAAUAUUUGUAUGGUCUACAUUUGUGUGCGGGAAGAGUGUGGAAAAAAAUUAUUAGAAUGCCUUGUUAAAAUUUUUUUUAACCUAAUUUGAUCUCUAAUUACAUUACGUAAACAUAAAAAAAAUUUCAACCAAAAAGAUGGAAUUCCUUUAGACUUCUUUGUAUAAUGCGUAAGAAGGCUCUCAAAACCGAAAGG